RNAcentral lists this ribosomal RNA (100 nucleotides) under uncultured bacterium. RNAcentral's name for it is "partial 16S ribosomal RNA". The record is from RNAcentral.
CCUUAGGGUUGUAAAGCACUUUCAAUUGGGAGGAAAAAACGAGAGCCAAUACCUCUUGUCUUGACAUUACCUUUAGAAGAAGCACCGGCUAACUCCGUGC